AGUGAACGCUGGCGGUAGGCCUAACACAUGCAAGUCGAACGGCAGCACAGUAAGAGCUUGCUCUUACGGGUGGCGAGUGGCGGACGGGUGAGGAAUACAUCGGAAUCUACUUUUUCGUGGGGGAUAACGUAGGGAAACUUACGCUAUUACCGCAUACGACCUACGGGUGAAAGCAGGGGAUCUUCGGACCUUGCGCGAUUGAAUGAGCCGAUGUCGGAUUAGCUAGUUGGCGGGGUAAAGGCCCACCAAGGCGACGAUCCGUAGCUGGUCUGAGAGGAUGAUCAGCCACACUGGAACUGAGACACGGUACAGACUCAUACGGGAGGCAGCAGUGGGGAAUAUUGGACAAUGGGCGCAAGCCUGAUCCAGCCAUACCGCGUGGGUGAAGAAGGCCUUCGGGUUGUAAAGCCCUUUUGUUGGGAAAGAAAAGCAGCAGGUUAAUACCCCGCUGUUCUGACGGUACCCAAAGAAUAAGCACCGGCUAACUUCGU
This 491-nucleotide ribosomal RNA is filed under the name uncultured bacterium. RNAcentral's name for it is "partial 16S ribosomal RNA". It matches the Rfam family "Bacterial small subunit ribosomal RNA", at positions 29 to 506 of the family's 1533-position model. The record is from RNAcentral.